CAUAAUGACAACAAUAACAAAAGAUUAGUAUCAAGGAAAGAUACCACAGAGGAGUUUUGAGAGACCUAUAUAGUAUAUAUUUUUGGCAGCUGAAUCUGUCCAAUCUUUGAUGCCCUAAGAAUGAGAUAAUAUGUCAUCUGGAGCAAAACUAGCCGCUGGAGAAGAUAAAUCACACAGUCCAACAGCAGGAUGAUUUUGGAGGUGCUUAGCCUAAACAGUCCUUCCUUGCCUCCAAGGCCAGAGUGACUCCAGUACCUUUAAGUUUUACUCCCAAGAGAACAUGGUCUGAUCCAGGACCAGCCUUAAACUCCUUAAGAUUAGAGCUAAUCUUCCUACAGACCAUCAUGGGCUGUGGGAAGGAAUUAGACCAUAAAAUUAACCAAGGCUUAAAAGGGCCUUUCAGAGUCAGCUCAUGCCAGACCAAAAUCAAGUCAUUUACUUUCAGGAGUGUCUUACAUGUCAGGUUCUGAUUUUAGG
This 477-nucleotide long non-coding RNA is filed under the name Bos taurus (domestic cattle). Its description in RNAcentral is "long non-coding RNA NONBTAT022533". Lineage: Eukaryota; Metazoa; Chordata; Mammalia; Artiodactyla; Bovidae. The record is from RNAcentral.